This 78-nucleotide small RNA is filed under the name Flavobacterium nitrogenifigens. RNAcentral's name for it is "Flavo-1 RNA". It matches the Rfam family "Flavo-1 RNA". Lineage: Bacteria; Pseudomonadati; Bacteroidota; Flavobacteriia; Flavobacteriales; Flavobacteriaceae. The record is from RNAcentral.
CGCUAGCCCCGAUCGAAGUGAUAUCCUUUUUCCUGCUCCUUUAGCAGGAAAAAGAUUUAACGGAGAGCGGGACUAAAU